UUGCCUAGAAUUGUGGUCGAUCCCGCCACCCCUCUGAACUAGCGUUCGAGACUAAGCCAUGCAAGUGUAAGCUCAAGACCUCUCGUAGGUCGAAGCCGCAGACGGCUCCGUACAAGGCAGUUAAUCUACGGUCCAGCGAAUAAUCUACGGAUAUCUCUGGUAAGCUAGAGCCAAUACGUGUUACCAAUUCUCCGUUAGUCCCUCGGGGCGAGCGGGGUGCAGUUACCGGAACGAGGUAGCGUGCUUCGGCGCGCAAUCAGAGGACUCUAGAUAACCUUGCCGACCGUGUAUAUUAUCCACGGCGUGGACCACGAGACUGCCACCUAUCAACUUUUGACGGUAGGGUAUUGGCCUACCGUGGUUGCAACGGGUACGGGGAAUCAGGGUUCGAUUCCGGAGAGGAGGCCUGAGAAACGGCCGCCAUUGCCACGGCACACAGCAGGCGCGCAAAUUUGUCAAUAUUCGAAAGAAUGAACGAGUGAGAACGUAUGGUCGGGUGGGACGAAUUUCGUUACCGCCACGUCGAUGAGACUAGUCCAAAAAGCUAGUCGAAUGCCACUGGAGGGCAAGUCUGGUGCCAGCAGCCGCGGUAAUUCCAGCUCCGGUAGUUCACGGGAUUAUUGCUGAGACUAAAACGUCCGUAGUCGCAACUAGCACCACCCCGGUGCCAGGUAUAUCUCGUAAUGAGAUUGCCUGGCUCGGGGCGGCACGGCCCUGGUGACGUUCGCGCGUCACUUGCGGCCCGCAUCCUUGACCUAAACCAAACGAUCAAAGUGAGCUCGUGCUCGAUGGUUUUGCAUGGAAUCGUGGAACGGGGCCGGCGUUCUGUACUUCGAGAGCGCUGGCGACGAUCAACGGGAGCGAUCAGGGGUGAGGGAACUGAAGGGCGAGGGGUAAAAUCUGAUGAGCCUUUCAAGACCACCGAAAGCGAAAGCAUUCACCAGGAGCGUUUCCGUCGAUAAAGGACUGAAGCCACCGUAGUGAACUGGAUUAGAUACCCAGGUAUCGGUGUGCCCCAAACUAUGCCAACCGGCCGGAUGCUCGAUUUACUUUCGUGGCGAGUAUUCGGUCCGAGGAAGCUGGAGCGAUUUGGCUUCUGGGAGAUUACGGCUGCAAAGUUGAAACUUAAAGGAAUUGACGGAAGGGCACCAUCAGGCCUGGAUUAUGUGGCUCAAUUGGAUUCGACGCCCAGUACCCAACCAGGACCGGAGCACCCGACGAAGCACUGCUCGAAUAGCCUUGCCGAUGAGUGUGCGGGUGGUGCAUGGCCGCCGUAGUUCGUGAGGUGACUUGUCUGGUUAAUUCCGACAACGAACGCAACCGCCCCGUUCGACUAUCGAGCCCUGCGCAUAUUGCGUUCGGCCCUUAGGAAACUCGAACUGACAAACUCGUGGAGCGGGUCUACCGCAACCGAGAGGAAGCUACGGCGAUGGCAGGUCUGUGAUGCCCCUAGAAGCCCUGGGUUGCACACGUCAUACAAUGCCCGUCCGAACGCGCUUACGCCGUGCCGAGAGGUACAGCUUAAUCGUCGUAAAAGCGGGCCCAGUUGGGAUCGAGGAUUGCAAUUGUUCCUCGUGAACGCGGAAUGCCUCGUAGGGGCGGGUCAUCAACUCGCCCCGAAUAAGUCCCUGUCCUUUGUACACACCGCCCGUCAUUACAGCCAAUGCCUCGUCAGCGUCAAGAGGCUGGACAGACUGCACUUCGGUGCGGCCCGAAAAGCCCCUGAACGUCGAUGAAACUAGGGUGUACAAGUCGUAACACGGUCCCCGUAGGUGAACCUGCGGGGGGAUCACCC
RNAcentral lists this ribosomal RNA (1795 nucleotides) under Marteilia cochillia. RNAcentral's name for it is "18S ribosomal RNA". It matches the Rfam family "Eukaryotic small subunit ribosomal RNA". The record is from RNAcentral. Lineage: Eukaryota; Endomyxa; Ascetosporea; Paramyxida; Marteiliidae.